Molecule: ribosomal RNA, 497 nt
Filed under: Platynectes kashmiranus
Lineage: Eukaryota; Metazoa; Arthropoda; Insecta; Coleoptera; Dytiscidae
Description: SSU rRNA
Rfam family: Eukaryotic small subunit ribosomal RNA
Source: RNAcentral
UUUACUUGGAUAACUGUGGUAAUUCUAGAGCUAAUACAUGCAAACAGAGUUCCGACCGGAGACGGGAGGAAUGCUUUUAUUAGAUCAAAACCAAUCGGCGGCGGGCGCGCUCGUCGCGCUCGUUCGCCGCUCAAUCUGGUGACUCUGAAUAACUUUCGGCUGAUCGCACGGUCUCGCACCGGCGACGCAUCUUUCAAAUGUCUGCCUUAUCAACUGUCGAUGGUAGGUUCUGCGCCUACCAUGGUCGUAACGGGUAACGGGGAAUCAGGGUUCGAUUCCGGAGAGGGAGCCUGAGAAACGGCUACCACAUCCAAGGAAGGCAGCAGGCGCGCAAAUUACCCACUCCCGGCACGGGGAGGUAGUGACGAAAAAUAACGAUACGGGACUCAUCCGAGGCCCCGUAAUCGGAAUGAGUACACUUUAAAUCCUUUAACAAGGACCAAUUGGAGGGCAAGUCUGGUGCCAGCAGCCGCGGUAAUUCCAGCUCCAAUAGCGUA